Long non-coding RNA from Chelonia mydas (Green sea turtle), 178 nucleotides. RefSeq lists it as uncharacterized. The transcript is spliced from 3 exons. The record is from RefSeq and is a predicted model, not a curated record. NCBI's taxonomy places the organism in Eukaryota, Metazoa, Chordata, Testudines, Cheloniidae.
AAACUCAGUUUGCAGUCUCUAAGAUUUGUGCCAUGGUCAUGCCCAUUAAAUCCUCCUUUUUUUGUAACUUUCUGUUAAUAUCAGGGGCUGCUCUGCUCGUAAAAAUUCCCUUAAUGAUUGACUCAGUUGCCUAAUCAUCGGGGUCUGCAUUUCUGUUCUGAACGGAAGAGCACAAGUC